This 484-nucleotide ribosomal RNA is filed under the name uncultured bacterium. RNAcentral describes it as "partial 16S ribosomal RNA". It matches the Rfam family "Bacterial small subunit ribosomal RNA", at positions 30 to 507 of the family's 1533-position model. The record is from RNAcentral.
AUUGAACGCUGGCGGCAGGCCUAACACAUGCAAGUCGAGCGGAUGAAGGGAGCUUGCUCCUGGAUUCAGCGGCGGACGGGUGAUUAAUGCCUAGGAAUCUGCCUGGUAGUGGGGGAUAACGUCCGGAAACGGGCGCUAAUACCGCAUACGUCCUGAGGGAGAAAGUGGGGGAUCUUCGGACCUCACGCUAUCAGAUGAGCCUAGGUCGGAUUAGCUAGUUGGUGGGGUAAAGGCCUACCAAGGCGACGAUACGUAACUGGUCUGAGAGGAUGAUCAGUCACACUGUAACUGAGACACGGUCCAGACUCCUACGGGAGGCAGCAGUGGGGAAUAUUGGACAAUGGGCGAAAGCCUGAUCCAGCCAAGCCGCGUGUGUGAAGAAGGUCUUCGGAUUGUAAAGCACUUUAAGUUGGGAGGAAGGGCAGUAAGUUAAUACCUUGCUGUUUUGACGUUACCAACAGAAUAAGCACCGGCUAACUUCGUG